This 301-nucleotide ribosomal RNA is filed under the name uncultured bacterium. Its description in RNAcentral is "partial 16S ribosomal RNA". It matches the Rfam family "Bacterial small subunit ribosomal RNA", at positions 509 to 808 of the family's 1533-position model. The record is from RNAcentral.
CAGCCGCCACGGGAAUACGUAGGUGGCGAGCGUUGUCCGGAAUCAUUGGGCGUAAAGGGAGCGCAGGCGGGCAUAUAAGUCUUUCUUAAAAGUUCGGGGCUCAACCCCGUGAUGGGAAAGAAACUAUAUGUCUUGAGUACAGGAGAGGAAAGCGGAAUUCCCAGUGUAGCGGUGAAAUGCGUUGAGAUCGGAAAGAACACCAACGGCGAAAGCACUCUGCUGGGCCGACACUGACACUGAGAGACGAAAGCUAGGGGAGCAAAUGGGAUUAGAUACCCCCGUAGUCCCUGUCUCUUAUACA